RNAcentral lists this ribosomal RNA (459 nucleotides) under uncultured bacterium. Its description in RNAcentral is "partial 16S ribosomal RNA". It matches the Rfam family "Bacterial small subunit ribosomal RNA", at positions 338 to 795 of the family's 1533-position model. The record is from RNAcentral.
CCUACGGGAGGCAGCAGUGAGGAAUAUUGGUCAAUGGUCGGGAGCCUGAACCAGCCAAGCCGCGUGAGGGAUGAAGGUCCAGAGUAUCGUAAACCUCUUUUGUCAGGGAACAAAGGCGGGUACGCGUCCCCGGAUUAGUGUACCUUACGAAAAAGCAUCGGCUAACUCCGGGCCAGCAGCCGCGGUAAUACGGAGGAUGCGAGGGUUAUCCGGAUUUAUUGGGUUAAAAGGGUGCGCAGGCGGGCUGUUAUGUCAGCUCGAAAAUCGCCCGGCUCAACCGCGACCCGCAGUUGAAACUGGAGGCCUUGAGUGCACAACAGGCAGGCGGAAUUCGUGGUGUAGCGGUGAAAUGCAUAGAUAUCACGAGGAACCCCGAUUGCGAAGGCAGCCUGCCGGGGUGCGACUGACGCUGAGGCUCGAAGGUGCGGGUAUCAAACAGGAUUAGAUACCCGGGUAGUC